This 95-nucleotide small nuclear RNA is filed under the name Erinaceus europaeus (western European hedgehog). RNAcentral describes it as "U2 spliceosomal RNA". It matches the Rfam family "U2 spliceosomal RNA". From Rfam's summary of the family: U2 is a small nuclear RNA (snRNA) component of the spliceosome (involved in pre-mRNA splicing). The record is from Rfam by way of RNAcentral. Lineage: Eukaryota; Metazoa; Chordata; Mammalia; Eulipotyphla; Erinaceidae.
ACCGUUUUUCGGCCUUUUGGCUAAGAUCAAGUGUAGUAUCUGUUCUUAUCAGUAAAUGAAUGAAAGGCAUCAUUGUUGCUUCCUAGCCACCAAGU